Molecule: ribosomal RNA, 549 nt
Filed under: uncultured bacterium
Lineage: Bacteria
Description: bacterial SSU rRNA
Rfam family: Bacterial small subunit ribosomal RNA
Source: RNAcentral
UGGGGAAUAUUGGACAAUGGGCGAAAGCCUGAUCCAGCCAUGCCGCGUGUGUGAAGAAGGCCUUAUGGUUGUAAAGCACUUUAAGUGGGAAGGAAAAGCUUAUGGAUAACACCCAUAGGUUCUGACGUUACCCACAGAAUAAGCACCGGCUAACUCUGUGCCAGCAGCCGCGGUAAUACAGAGGGUGCAAGCGUUAAUCGGAAUUACUGGGCGUAAAGCGAGCGUAGGUGGUUUAUUAAGUCAGAUGUGAAAUCCCUGGGCUUAACCUAGGAACUGCAUCUGAUACUGAUAAACUAGAGUAGGUGAGAGGAAAGUAGAAUUCCAGGUGUAGCGGUGAAAUGCGUAGAGAUCUGGAGGAAUACCGAUGGCGAAGGCAGCUUUCUGGCAUCAUACUGACACUGAGGUUCGAAAGCGUGGGUAGCAAACAGGAUUAGAUACCCUGGUAGUCCACGCCGUAAACGAUGUCUACCAGUCGUUGGGUCUUUUAAAGGCUUAGUGACGCAGUUAACGCGAUAAGUAGACCGCCUGGGGAGUACGGCCGCAAGGUUA